CAAACUCUCUUCUAUAAGGAAGUUUAUUGGUUACGUCAAUUUUUUUACUGUGCGAUUCAGUAGGGUUUGA
Molecule: transfer RNA, 70 nt
Filed under: Libiocoris heissi
Lineage: Eukaryota; Metazoa; Arthropoda; Insecta; Hemiptera; Aradidae
Description: tRNA-Val
Source: RNAcentral